RNAcentral lists this ribosomal RNA (500 nucleotides) under fungal sp. 132C2M. RNAcentral's name for it is "eukaryotic LSU rRNA". The stretch from base 184 to 337 matches the Rfam family "5.8S ribosomal RNA". The record is from RNAcentral. Lineage: Eukaryota; Fungi.
GGAUCAUUGCUGGAACGCGCUUCGGCGCACCCAGAAACCCUUUGUGAACUUAUACCUUACUGUUGCCUCGGCGCAGGCCGGCCCCUCCACGGGGGCCCCUCGGAGACGAGGAGCAGCCCGCCGGCGGCCAACCAAACUCUUGUUUCUUAGUGAAUCUCUGAGUAAAAAACAUAAAUGAAUCAAAACUUUCAACAACGGAUCUCUUGGUUCUGGCAUCGAUGAAGAACGCAGCGAAAUGCGAUAAGUAAUGUGAAUUGCAGAAUUCAGUGAAUCAUCGAAUCUUUGAACGCACAUUGCGCCCUCUGGUAUUCCGGAGGGCAUGCCUGUUCGAGCGUCAUUUCAACCCUCAAGCCUGGCUUGGUGUUGGGGCACUGCUUCGAGAGAAGCAGGCCCUGAAAUCUAGUGGCGAGCUCGCCAGGACCCCGAGCGUAGUAGUUAUAUCUCGUUCUGGAAGGCCCUGGCGGUGCCCUGCCGUUAAACCCCCAACUUCUGAAAUUUGA